GACGAACGCUGGCGGCGUGCUUAACACAUGCAAGUCGAACGGAAAGGCCCUUCUUUUGUGGGGUGCUCGAGUGGCGAAAGGGUGAGUAACACGUGAGUAACCUGCCCUUGACUUUGGAAUAACUUCAGGAAACUGGGGCUAAUACCGGAUAGGAGCUCCUGCUGCAUGGUGGGGGUUGGAAAGUUUCGGCGGUUGGGGAUGGACUCGCGGCUUAUCAGCUUGUUGGUGGGGUAGUGGCUUACCAAGGCUUUGACGGGUAGCCGGCCUGAGAGGGUGACCGGCCACAUUGGGACUGAGAUACGGCCCCGACUCCUACGGGAGGCAGAAGUGGGGAAUAUUGCACAAUGGGCGGAAGCCUGAUGCAGAAACGCCGCGUGCGGGAUGACGGCCUUCGGGUUGUAAACCGCUUUCGCCUGUGACGAAGCGUGAGUGACGGUAAUGGGUAAAGAAGCACCGGCUAGCUACGUG
This 468-nucleotide ribosomal RNA is filed under the name uncultured bacterium. Its description in RNAcentral is "partial 16S ribosomal RNA". It matches the Rfam family "Bacterial small subunit ribosomal RNA", at positions 28 to 507 of the family's 1533-position model. The record is from RNAcentral.